Molecule: ribosomal RNA, 305 nt
Filed under: uncultured bacterium
Lineage: Bacteria
Description: bacterial SSU rRNA
Rfam family: Bacterial small subunit ribosomal RNA
Source: RNAcentral
UCCUACGGGGCGCAGCAGUGGGGAAUAUUGCACAAUGGGCGAAAGCCUGAUGCAGCAACGCCGCGUGAAGGAAGAAGGUCUUCGGAUCGUAAACUUCUGUCCUUGGGGAAGAUAAUGACGGUACCCUUGGAGGAAGCCCCGGCUAACUACGUGCCAGCAGCCGCGGUAAUACGUAGGGGGCAAGCGUUAUCCGGAAUUACUGGGUGUAAAGGGUGAGUAGGCGGCAUGGUAAGCCAGAUGUGAAAGCCUUGGGCUUAACCCGAGGAUUGCAUUUGGAACUAUCAAGCUAGAGUACAGGAGAGGAA